GACGUAGGGCGCGAGCGUUGUCCGGAUUUAUUGGGCGUAAAGAGCUCGUAGGCGGCUCAUUGCGUCAACCGUGAAAACCAGCAGCUCAACUGUUGGCUUGCGGUUGAUAUGGGUGGGCUGGAGUUCGGUAGGGGAGACUGGAAUUCCUGGUGUAGCGGUGAAAUGCGCAGAUAUCAGGAGGAACACCGGUGGCGAAGGCGGGUCUCUGGGCCGAUACUGACGCUGAGGAGCGAAAGCGUGGGGAGCGAACAGG
Molecule: ribosomal RNA, 253 nt
Filed under: uncultured bacterium
Lineage: Bacteria
Description: partial 16S ribosomal RNA
Rfam family: Bacterial small subunit ribosomal RNA
Source: RNAcentral